UUCCACAACAGCGUGCAUGCAACAGUCGCCCGACUUUCACGCUUCUCUCGGGACAGCAACCCGUCCGACCAGUCAACCUACCGCGCACUGGUAACUGGCAUGUUGUCUGAUCUCACACUUCAAAGCAGUGUUUACAGUUACGCACGUGCAACUGACAUCGCGUGCUGAUGCACGUGCUGCCGCGAGAUCACGGGAUCUACAGCCCUGACUGCAAGGCGUCAUGUCUGCUCUCCCACGUGUUGCGGUAUUGAUCUUAACUGUCUGUGUUCGCAUCGCAUCAGUGCUGAGCCUGAAGUGUGCCCAGUGCACGUCAAUCCACACCCGGCCCUGUGCGAGCGGGAGGGUGGAGCCGACAGAUUGUAUGGGCCUGUAUCAAGGAGCACAGUUUUGUGUGACGUACGCCGGCACUAUCAGAACAGGUCGGGUUGUGUUCCGCGACUGCAGCUACGUGGACAUGCACACCAUCUGCCGGAGCCAGCUGAUGGAGAACCAGAAGACGGAGGUCUGCUAUGAAACGUGCGACACAGAUGGGUGUAACUCCGUGCCCAGCUCAAGCCGCCCCUUCUAUACACCAGGUGCAAUCGUCAUGCCAUGUCUGAUCCUGGCAUUACUCAUGCCCAGGUGACAUGUCUAAUCCUGGCAUUACUCGCUGGCAUCAAUCAUGUAUAGAUGACAUGUCUCAUCCUGGCAUUACUCAUGCCCAGGUGACAAGUCUCGUCCUGGCAUUACUCAUGCCCAGGUGACAGGUCUCAUCCUGGCAUUACUCAUGCCCAGGUGACAGGUCUCAUCCUGGCAUUACUCAUGCCCAGGUGACAUGUCUAAUCCUGGCAUUACUCGCUGGCAUCAAUCAUGUAUAGAUCACAUGUCUCAUCCUGGCAUUACUCAUGCCCAGGUGACAAGUCUCGUCCUGGCAUUACUCAUGCCCAGGUGACAGGUCUCAUCCAGGCAUUACUCAUGCCCAGGUGACAGGUCUCAUCCUGGAAUUACUCAUGACCAGGUGACAUGUCUAAUACUGGCAUUACUCGCUGGCAUCACUCAUGUAUAGAUGACAGGUCUCAUCCCGACUUUACUCAUGCCAGGUGGCAGGUCUUAUGCUGGCAAUACCCAUGCUCAGGUGGCAGAUCUGAUCCUGACAUUAUUCAUUCUCAGGUGACAGGUCUUAUCCUGACAUUAUUCAUGUUCAGGUGACAGGUCUUAUACUGGCAUUAUUCAUGCUCAGGUGACAGAUCUCAUCCUGACGUUAUUCGUGCUCAGAUAACAGGUCUGAUCCUUGCAUUAUCAUGCGCAGGUGACAGGUCUAAUCCUGACAAUACAGAUGCUCAGGUGACAUAUCUGAUCCUGGCAAUACAGAUGCUCAGGUGACAGAUUUCAUCCUGGCAUUACUCAUGCUCAGGUGACAGAUCCCAACCUGGCAUUAUUCAUGCGCGGGUGACAGAUCUCAUCCUGGCAAUACAGAUGCUCAGGUGACAGAUCUCAUCCUGGCAAUACAGAUGCUCAGGUGACAGAUCUCAUCCUGGCAAUACAGAUGCUCAGGUGACAGAUCUCAUCCUGGCAAUACAGAUGCUCAGGUGACAGAUCUCAUCCUGGCAAUACAGAUGCUCAGGUGACAGAUCUCAUCCUGGCAAUACAGAUGCUCAGGUGACAGAUUUUAUCCUGGCAAUACAGAUGCUCAGGUGACAGAUCUCAUCCUGGCAUUACUCAUGCUCAGGUGACAGAUCCCAUCCUGGCAUUAUUCAUGCGCAGGUGACAGAUCUCAUCCUGGCAUUACUCAUGCGCAGGUGACAGAUCUCAUCAUGGCAUUACUCAUGCUCAGGUGACAGAUCCCAUCCUGGCAUUAUUCAUGCGCAGGUGACAGAUCUCAUCCUGGCAAUACAGAUGCUCAGGUGACCGAUCUCAUCCUGGCAAUACUGAUGUUAAGGUGAUAGGUGUCAUCCUUGUAUUUACCCACGUCCAUGCGACAGCUGGGUUCAUCGUUUCAUUACUCAUGUGCAGGUGUCAUGGUGAGAUUAUCUCAAACAUCAUUUUAAAUAUAUCGCUGUUGAUAAAAUGUAUGUGGGUUUCAUGGAUUGUUCGGUAGAUGAAGUUUACCCAUCCGAUAACCUGGAACCCGAUUUGGUUGAAUAUUGAACAUGGCCGCACGGAUAAGAACUAUUCCUGCAACUGACUUUGAACUCCUUUGAGGCGCCGUUAAAGCCAUCAAUCGUGAACGAUGUAAUCUAAUUUUCUUAAUGUACAUUUUAGGCAUCGUUAGUGCUUGAACUGUUCUCAGGUUGAUUUGUGACUUGAUUUGUUGAUGCGUGAAUGAGUGAAUAUUGUUAAACGCCGUCGUCAGCAAUAUUCCAGCUAUAUAACAGCGGGCUGUAGAUAAUCGAGUUAGUAACAACCCGAUGGGAUUGGUUCGUCUAGUACACAAACAAUAGAGUGUUGGGAGUAUUCUAUCCUGGGAAUGAGGGGCGAUCGGGUAGCCUAGUGGUUAAAGCGUUCGCUCGUCACGCCGAAGACCCGGGUUCGAUUCCCGACAUGGGUACAAUGUAUGAAGCCAAUUUCUGGUGUCCCCCGCCGUGAUAUUGCUGGAAUAUUGCUAAAAGCGGCGUAAAACCAUACUCACUCACUCACUCACUAUUCUGGGAACUGACGUGUCCUUCCAGAAUUGACUGUCCACUCAAAGAGGACCUCUGAUAAAGGCAGCACUUGUUCAAAGACACGAAGACACCGUUACAGAAUAUGGAGUGUUGUUCAUCAUGUAUGUUAGGUGAUAGGUCUAUUGUUUGAACUGUGUGUUUGUUAUGGUUGAUUAGCAUGUGUAUAUCGAGUAACUGUGAGAUUGUAUUGUACAUUAAAGUUCAGCAAUUGUAGUUGAUAAAUUUCUAAUUUUACAGAUGUUGUUUGGCGUGAGAUAUUCACCUGUUUUGCCUACAGCCUUAAAGUAUGAAUGUUUUAAUUACAUGUGUACCCAACAGGAUCGAAUUAUGUUUGAUAAACCUACGUAUAAGAAAUUAUA
This 3001-nucleotide unclassified non-coding RNA is filed under the name Haliotis rufescens (red abalone). RNAcentral describes it as "u-scoloptoxin(05)-Cw1a-like, transcript variant X1". The stretch from base 2456 to 2527 matches the Rfam family "tRNA". The record is from RNAcentral. Lineage: Eukaryota; Metazoa; Mollusca; Gastropoda; Lepetellida; Haliotidae.